Dipodomys spectabilis (banner-tailed kangaroo rat) is the source of this 181-nucleotide long non-coding RNA. RefSeq lists it as uncharacterized. The record is from RefSeq and is a predicted model, not a curated record. NCBI's taxonomy places the organism in Eukaryota, Metazoa, Chordata, Mammalia, Rodentia, Heteromyidae. The transcript is spliced from 3 exons.
GUUGCUGUGGGUCAUUCAGAGGCUGUGGCAGGUGCUGGAAAUAUUCCCAACCCCUCUGCUGCUGUCCUUGCAAUGGUUGACUGAGUGCUGCAUCCUCCUUUCACCAAGAGUGUUUUCUGCCUUGUGACUUCAUUGGUGUUGUGAUCCAUUUCACUAUAAUCUCAAAGGACAAUGUAGGGGA